This is a long non-coding RNA of Cyprinus carpio carpio, 1485 nucleotides long. Lineage: Eukaryota; Metazoa; Chordata; Actinopteri; Cypriniformes; Cyprinidae. The record is from Ensembl.
UGUCCGAUGCCGAGGCGGUGCCUGAUGCGGUGGCUGAGGCGGUUCCCGAUGCAAUGUCCGAUGCCGAGGCGGUGCCCGAUGCCGAGGCGGUGCCUGAUGCGGUGGCCGAGGCGGUUCCCGAUGCAAUGUCCGAUGCCGAGGCAGUGCCCGAUGCCGAGGCGGUGCCCGAGGCGGUGCCCAUUGCCGAGGCGGUGCCAGAGGCGGUGCCCGAUGCCGAGGCAGUGCCCGAUGCCGAGGCGGUGCCCGAUGCGGUGCCAGAGACGGUGCCAGAGACGGUUCCCGAUGUAAUGCCCGAGACCGAGGCUGUUCCGGAGGUCGAGGCGGUGCCCGAUGUUGUUCCCGAUGCCGAGGCGGUGCCCGAUGUUGUUUCCGAUGCCGAGGCUGUGCCCGAUGCAGAGGCCGUUCCCGAGGCGGUGCCCGAUGCCGAGGCCGUUCCCGAGGCGGUGCCCGAUGCCGAGCCCAAGGUCGUGCCCGAGGUCGUUCCCGAGGCGGCGUCCUUGUCCGAUGCCAUUCCUGAGGCCAUUCCCGAGGCGGUGCCCGAUGCUGUUCCGGAGGCCGAUGCGGGGCCCGAGAGGGUUCCGGAGGCGAUACCCGUGUCCAAGGCCGUUCCCGAGGCGGUGCCCUUGUCUGAGGCCGUUCCCGAUGCCGUUCCCAAUGCCGUGACCUGGCCAUCGCCACAGCCUGCUCCUUACUGGCUCCCCGAUUGGCAGGUUCCGUUCGGGCCACUCAAAUGGCGAAUUCCUCCCUGGCCGUCUGCACAACGAGAAUGGACUGAUCCACCGUGGCCACCUGAACUGCCUGGUCCCUCGUGGUACCCUGAACUUUCGGGUCCACCCUGGCCACCUGAACUGCCUGGUCCCUCGUGGUCCCCUGAACUUUCGGGUCCACCCUGGCCACCUGAACUGUCUGGUCCCUCGUGGUCCCCUGAACUUUUGGGUCAACCCUGGCCCCCUGAACUGUCUGAUCCACCUUGGCUGCCGGUGGAGCCAUUACGGCCGGUCCCUGUUCUCCUACACGGGCCUGGCCCGCCAUCCCUCCCCCUGUUCUACCUCCACCAGUCCACCUCCCUCCUGGUCUUUUUGAUUUGUUUUUUUUUUGAUCUGGGGAGCAUCUGGAAGCUGCUCCUUAGAGGGGGGGCUAAUGUCACAGUGUCUGUUCUGUGUCUCCCUGGGUGGCCACUAGAGGUCUCACUUCCCCUGAUUGUCACCCCCUUCUGAACUACAUUUCCCACUAGCCUUAUCUGUUCAUCACUGUUCAUUGUGUUCAGCUGUCACCACUUACCUUGUUUGCACCUGUCUAUAAAUACCCUGGUUGUUUCUGUCAUUGUUACGGAGUCCUUGUUGCAUGUCACCCUGCUUUUUCCUGGUUCCCUAGUGGAUGUUCGUGUUUCGUGUUUUGGACUGUUUAUGUUUGGUUUUGACCCCUGCCUGGACUGUUUAUGAUUUUGGAUUACCCUUUAAUAAACACUGCAUUUGGAUCUACCUG